Molecule: ribosomal RNA, 547 nt
Filed under: uncultured archaeon
Lineage: Archaea
Description: bacterial SSU rRNA
Rfam family: Archaeal small subunit ribosomal RNA
Source: RNAcentral
ACGGGGUGCAGCAGGCGCGAAACCUUCACAAUGCACGAAAGUGUGAUGAGGGUACUCCGAGUGCGCAUACAUUGUAUGUGCUUUUCUGCAGCGUAAAUAGUUGCAGGAAUAAGGGCUGGGCAAGACCGGUGCCAGCCGCCGCGGUAACACCGGCAGCCCUAGUGGUGGCCGCUUUUAUUGGGCCUAAAGCGUCCGUAGCCGGACAGGCGAGUCUUUGGGUAAAUCCUACGUCUUAAGCGUGGGAAUUCUAAAGAUACUACCUGUCUUGAGGCCGGGAGAGGCUGGAGGUACUCCUGGGGUAGGGGUAAAAUCCUAUAAUCCUGGGGGGACCACCGAUGGCGAAGGCAUCCAGCUGGAACGGGCCUGACGGUGAGGGACGAAACCCAGGGGAGCGAGCCGGAUUAGAUACCCGGGUAGUCCUGGGCGUAAAUGAUGUGGGCUUGGUGUGAGCGCAUCGACGAGGUGCGCUUGUGCCGUAGGGAAGCCGUUAAGCCCACCGCCUGGGGAGUACGGUCGCAAGGCUGAAACUUAAAGGAAUGGCGGGGAG